Long non-coding RNA from Pan troglodytes (chimpanzee), 2039 nucleotides. RefSeq lists it as uncharacterized. The transcript has 3 exons. The record is from RefSeq and is a predicted model, not a curated record. Lineage: Eukaryota; Metazoa; Chordata; Mammalia; Primates; Hominidae.
GUAGUCCGGCCGCCCUGUGACUAACGGCUGGAACCGCCUAAGACACCACCCCAGCCAGCAUGGCCGGCAGGAGCGCACCAUGCUGUCUCCCUCCAGGGAUCCGCACUGCCCUACAAUCCUGCUUUGUGCUGAGAUUGUAGUCCUGCAGGCGUACAACUAACAAGCUGGGUGCAGAUAAGAGACUACAGCUCCCCGCAUCCCAAGCAAAGGUCCCUCCUCUACGGAGCCCCUCCACGCGUCCACUGCGGUUCCGCCGUGCCAAGGGGAGCUUGGGUGUUCACGGGCCUCACCUGCUAGCGAGAAGAUAGCUUGGCCGGGCGGCUGAUCUCACCUUGUAAUUCUGACACUGUGUCUCCCGGGCUUGUCGGCUUCAUGACUUGUGUCCAAAGUUUGAUUUCUCACAGACCAGGAGGACCCAUUGGACCCCCGGGCUGGCUGCAGGGCCCACACCUGGGUUAGACCUCGCACAGGGACACUGCUGCCACUGUAAUAAAGCAUGCCUACACGCUUCUGAAACUGGUGUAGGAACAACCUCAGUUCUGUGAAAGGCGGACGCAGCAGGACAGAAUCUCCGUGGACAUCUGUCUGGAGGAGCAAUUUUACUGCGACAUUUUGAAGAAACAAAUUUAAUUGAUUUCCAAGUUUUUUGAGACAGAGUCUCGCUCUGUCACCAGGCUGUACAGUGCCGUGGCCUGUCUCGGCUCACUGCAACCUCCACCUCCUGGGUUCAAGCGAUUCUUAUGCCUCAGCCUCCCAAGUAUCUGGGACUACAGGCAUGCGCCACCAUGCCCAGCUGAUUUUUGUAUUUUUAGUAGAGACGGAGUUUCACCAUGUUGACCAGGAUGGUCUCAAUCUCUUGACCUCGUUAUCCGGCUGCCUCCUCCUCCCAAAGUGCUGGGAUUACAGGCGUGAGCCACCAUGCCUGGCCACAUCUACUUUUCUAAAUGUGUCAUUAUAUUUGUGAUAUUGUCAUGAUGUUUUCUACUUAUAUUUUAUUCAAAAAUUUUAUACUUUAAGUUCUUACCUUUAGGUCUUUGAUGACUUUUUAUUUGUUUAUGGUGUAGGGUAAAUGUUCAACUUCAUCCUUUUGCUUGUGGAUAUCCAUUUUUUCCCAGCACCAAUUGUUAUAAGGACAGUCCUUUGCCCAUUGAACGGUCUUUGUAUCCCCAUCAAAAAUUAUUUGACCAUAUGCUGCUUUAUACUGUUCCAGUGUCUCUUUGCCAGAACCACACUAUUUUGGAACUUUGUAUUAAGCUUUGGAAUGAGUAAGUGUAAAUUUUGUAACACUGGUCUUCUUUUUCAAGAUAAUUUUGACUCAUUGGGGUCCCUUGAGAUUCCAUAUGAAAUUUAGAUAGGAUUUUUCUAUUUCUGCAAAAUAGAAUUUUUUGCUUUUUUGGUUACUCCUGACGUAUUUUAUUCUUUUCAGUGCUAUUGUAAAUGUGCUUGUUUGCUUAGUUUUGUUUUCUAAUUAUUCAUCAUUACUGUAUAGAAACACAAGUGAUAUUUGCAUGUUAAUUUUGUAUGCUGCUACUAUGCUGAAUUUAUUAGUUGUAAUACUUUUUGUGUGGAUCUGUGAAAUCUCUAGAGCUUUCCACAUAAAAUUAUAUUAUCUGUAGGCUAGAGUAAUUUUACCUCUACAUUUCCAAUUUGGAUAGUUUGUUUCUUUUUAAUUCUUAAUUUGACUAGAACUUCCAACACUAUGUGGAAUAGAAGUGGCAAAAACAGACACCUUUGCCUUGUUCCUGAGCUUAGAGCAGAAGCUUUUUGUCUUUCACCCUGGAGUACAUUGUUUGAUGUGGUUUUUUAAUGUGUGGAUUUCACAAUGGUAGUAUUUUAGUUUUAAAAUUCCUACUUUUUUGAGUGUUUUCACCCUGAAAAGAUUUUGAAUUUCAUAAAAUACUUUUCUCUGCAUCCAUGAGGUGAUCAAUGUUUCUUUUAUUUUGUUAAUGUGUACACAUUGAUCAAUUUUUAUACGUUAAAAAAUUCAUGUUUUAAGAUAUCUUUGCAUUCUAAGAAUAAAUUCCACUUGGUCGUGGUGA